UUCAGAAGGAUCUUUGUCUUCCUCUGGAGAAUGAGGCCCUCAGAAUUUAAUAACUGACCUAUUGGCCAGACGUGCUCUACCAUCAAAGUAAUCACAGAGAGAGACUGACAGAAGUUCUGCUCUCCACCAUGAGGUACUCCAAAGUGUGCAGGCAAAAGGAUGUGCUGGUGGCCAAAAAGGAGUAUGUCGCCUGCAGCUGACAGCAAGAAUGUGAUCUAACAGAGAGCUGAAGCAGCAAAGGGCAGCAAAGCCUUGGUCAGGAAGAGAUCCAAUCAAGAUGGCAGCUUGGUUGUUUUUUCUAGUGUGUUCCUGAGCAGACAGAGCCUCGCAAAUGCAGCUUGUCACGUACCUCCCCUGGAAGCUCCGUCAUUCACAUGGAACUUGUGUUUAAUAUAUCCCACUUGAAUUAUAUCAAACAUGCUGUUCUCUGGGAGAUAAUGCACUUAUUAAAAAGCAUACCAGAUUAUAAAUAUCUACUGGCACACAGAGGCUUCUCAGACAAUGACAGAACAAUAACGACUCGGUCCCUGCAGCUCCCCCUGCAUACAAAGCCGGACUUCUGUCAGCUCUCUGCAAGAAAGUCUUUUCAAUGGCAAAUCACAGAUGAUGGGAUUGAAAGGAUCAAGGUACUACUCAGAUCCAGCCCCUUGCAUUGAGCAGGGGAGGACUCUGUGGUGCUUGAUUCAUUGUGAGCAUCUGAUCUCUCCUUCGAGCCUGUGUCAUAACUCUCCCAUUAUUCAAAAUGUUCCACCAGAUUUACAGGCAAAGUUUUCCCAGGAUGUGAGUGAGAUUUUUAUCUAUUUUUCAUUACUAGGAUGCAGUGUGUUACCUUUUUGGAAUCCAGCAUGAGAAAUUAUUUUUCUCCCUGUACAAAUUUUCCUACCUCAGAUGAUUUGAUGAGAUCAGAGCAGGGUGAAUGACAGAUGCUCAAGUCCAGCAGCACUGAACCCUAUAGGUGGUCCCCAUUUGAUCCACUGAAGCACAGUGGUUAAAUUUAUGAGUUUCUUUGCCAUUCCUCUCUUCCAUUACUACAUCAGUUUUCCAGCUGAGGAACACAGAGCAUUCCCCAUGACCAAAUAAGCACCACCACUCCUGCUGUGCUGCUGUCUGACAAACAACCACUUAAGCUACUCAGCAAACAGCCCUAGUGUAGGCUCCACGUGCCUCAGUUAGAAAUAAUCUCUGAAUAAUUAAUGGACUGGGAAGAAUCUCAAUUCAGUGGCUUUUCAGUCCCCUCAGAGUGGGUAUCACCCUUUCCUUUAUUAAUAUUUUUAAGCUUUGCAAUUUUAGCCUAUCCUGUUACUAAUUUAUAUUUCCUAAAAUAAAGCUUACACACACUUUCAGUAUUUCAGUAAUAUUUAAUCUAUCUAAAACAUGGAGUGAUUCAUCUAUCCAGUAGAAACACAUGUGACAUUACUUAUAUAAAAUCAGUGCACCCUUUAUAAUCCUCAUUCCCUCCCAACCACUCUUAAAAUUACUGAGAAAUGUUUCAUCUUCAAGUUUGGAAUGCAGGUUCAGAAAUAGGGCUUCAGAUGACAAAAUGAAGAGAGAAUACCAUCUUGUAAAAGUACAAAUUUGGGAUUAAAUGUUUUCAGAAAAAGGGUAAUUUCUCUUUCUGUACUGCUUAUUUUCACUGAAGAUUUUUUUGGGAGUUGAAGAAAGAAAUGUGUUAGAUAAAAUCUUGGUUCUCUAUGCAACAUGAAGAUAAGAGCAUGAAAAUCAGUUGUGUUUGAAAAAUUACACUGACAUUUAAGUGUCUUUGUAAACAGCUUGGAGCAACUGUUCAGUUGUGAAGUAACCCUUAGUCUCCCCCAUCAUUUAGGGUACUGAAUUUCAUGUGCCAUGGAAACCUGCCAAAAAAAUGAAGGAGAGUUCUAAUCUUUGGCACUAGUUUAUCUGUUUGGUUAUACUUUGUUGAAAAUAUCUGAUUUUGAAAAUUCAGGCUUGCUGCUUGCUAUGUGAUAUAAACCCCUACUUUCCAGCCAUGGACCAUGCACAAGAGAGACUUCAUCCAAUUACCUAAUGUGUUUACUGACUCUCUUAAAUCAGGAUCUGUGAAUCAGGUUGUGAAUUCCUAUUUUUCAUCAAUGGCAAUAAAGAUUCAUGGGGAUAGAAUCAUAGGGAAAAACUCACAGGAUCAUGUAGACUGGUGCAUUCAGCUCUAUUGUUGGAAAAUAAAAGUUCCUCACUGGUAAUAACUGAUAUUUCAUCUGUCACUAUUCUCUCUCUUUUUCCUUGAUAACAAGAGAUAUGAAUAGUACUGUGCUUUGUUUUCCAUCACUGAGCUUGAUUAAUCAGCAGAAGGAAGGUAAUUCAAACUUGAGGUCACAUAAUUAAAGUAUUUCUGAGUAGUACUCAAACCAUUAAAGGAAACAAAUGUGUCAAAAGAAGCAUCAGUAUUUCUUUUUAAUUUUACAAAUACAUAUAGACAUAAAAAAUGAUAUGUUUCCAGUUCAUCUUAGUCAUCAACACUACAUUAAAAAAAAUAACUAGUCUGUACUCUCUCAACCAUAAAAAAAAUAUAUCUAGAGAAACUAGAAGCCUGACACAUUUGGCAAUAAAUACACAAAGACAUUAAUUCAAAACUCAUUCAAUCUUUCUCCCAUUACUGCUAUCAAAACGUAAUUUAUGUAGAUUUAAACAGUACACUUUAAAUAUAAUAUGAACUUGAGAAAUACCACUAACAUUGAGAAUCAGUAUUGCUUGCAAGUUUAUUUUCCUUUUUUUAAUAGUGCUUCUUUUCUUCUUGCCUGAGCUGCCCAUCAACUCUGUGUAACGCUCAAAGUGUUGUCAGACAAAGUAAACAUGCAUAAGUAUCACCAUCCUACUCACAAUCAUGAAGGUCUAGGGCAAUUUGAAUUUUCUUUCAGCCAAGAUACUCGUGGGUUCCCUCUUCUCUGUGCAAGCCUCUUUGCACAGUAUCGCAGUUUGAUGUGCACAGAUGAGUGAGAGAGAACUGCUGCAUGUACAUGGAGUCAUAAUCUUGGAACUCCAACAUCUUGUAGGCUUUAGAUACAAUGUGUGGAUAGGAGUUUGGGUUUUUUUCACAGUCUCUGUGAAAUAAUGUUGAGAUAAUGGUUUUGUACAUAUUCUUGGUGUGAGGAGUGACUGCAUCACUGUCAUAUGUUAAUUCGACUCUAACCUGUCUGUUGGAAGCUUAAUUUUCUCAAUAUUUCCCAAAAUUCACUAGAGCAAGGGUUCUUAGUCCUUGGAAUAUUGGUGGUCAAGUGUUUUUGUUUUAUUUUAGCCUAUGAGUUUAGAGACCAAAACAGUGCCUUUUUAACACCUAUGCAAAUGUGACUGUGUAAUUCUUGUCAGUCAAAGCCAGUGCCAGGACCAUGUGUGAUGGUCUACAGGCUGGCACAGCCCUAUUCCCACCAGGAAAGCAUCUCUCCAAUCUGCUGUGUUUCUCCCUGUUGUGAUCUCCUGGGCAAUUGUAACUCAGACAUGCUUGUUCAAUAACAGAUAGAGACAAAGGUGAAGAGAAGGGUAAAGAGUCAAAAGAAGUUAAAAAUAUUUUAAUCUGACACAGAAGGAUUGUGCUGCUAAGAUUAAGAGACAACACAAUCUGAAUAACAGAACCUGAGCAGCAUCCCUGCCUGAAGGGGAAUUCACUCUAUCUCCUUCCCAGACAUGUAUCAUGCAUGUCGGGUGAUAUUUGAAUUUGAAUUUGUCAUUUCCUCUCCCUUGUAUUUCACUGACAGAGCAAGCAAUAAUUAUGAAUAUUGUGCCACAUAACUAACCAUGUCAACUCUUUAAUAGCUUUAUAUCUGCUAGAUGCACGAAUUCAUGUAGGAUGUUCUGUGGUAUGUAGAGCUGAAUUUAAAAUUUGUGAGCCAAGGGCUUGGGCAACUCUGUAAGGUUUGAUUAUGCCCUAAUACCAUGACUUAAAAUCUUUAUAUUACUAUCUUAGCUAUACCAAGUAGUAAUAUUAAUAGGUCUUCCACAAUUUCAUGCUGCCAUUUGUGUGGCAAUCUUGCUGACGAAAAUACAACAUAUGCUGUCUCUGACCUAACUCUCAAACAGAAAGAUGUGCUUCAGUAGAUCAGUAUGUAUCUACCAUUCUUGGAAUAACCAUGAUUAUUUCAACGAGGCUGAUGUAGUAAGAGAAGAUAAGUUCACUUAGAAACUGUUCCCUUGACUAUAUGAUGCUUAACUUUUUGAAAAGCUGUUCCAAAAUUUGUGCAAGUGCUAGAAGCAGCUUUCAAAAUCAAUGGCUGUGUUUUCAAAUCUUGUGGACAGACUGACAAGUUUAUGAAACAUGUAGUCCAGAAGCCACAUAGAUCUGCUCUGUGAGCCAAAUAACCUCUUGAAGUCUUUCCCUAGUAUUUUUAAAAUUCUGGGUUCUCAUUAAUGGUUUCCAUGUUAUGCAAAGGGAGUCUGAGCCUUUGCUCUCUCAUAAUAUGUUCAUACAGGAUGGUGCUGGGCUUGUUACAGCAGAUACGUAGAGGGUUGAAUCUGGAAUUUUGAGUGAUAGGAAGAUUUAGAUGCUUAAAUGCCUUGGGAGGUGUAUGCUGAAUCCUUUGUGUCAAACUAUAGACAUUACUGUCACAAUGCUGUCACAUAUAAACACAGGAUCUAACUCCAAAUGUCAACUUCUGAUGUUGAUUUUUCGAGACUUCACCCAUUGAUUAUAUUUAUUUGCCACUGGCCCUGAAUUUGCUCAGUCACAGUAACAAAUCCAGUGCAGCCUGGAAAAGGGUUGAAUGAGGAGAGAGAGUUAUGUAGUUGUAUGUAUGCAGCUAUCUUCACAGGACACAAAAUAGAGUUUUUGUUCUCUUUUUCAGAUUAUGUGGAUUUAACAGUUGCCAUGAUAGUUAAUAACACUUUAACAAUGUGCCUACAACAUCAGAUUUUUUGCACUCGUGUUACACAGGCAUGCUUGUUCUUGGUGGUUUGGUGGGCCAGAAGCAGCAUGUCCCCACUUUGCUUUACUCCUGCAACUUUUGGCAGCUGGCUAACACAGCAGUACCUUCAACCUGCCAUCAUGCACUGCUUCCUUAUCCUCUCCUUUUUCUCUCCUCCCUCUUGUAAUAAAAUCAAUCUGGUUCUCCUGCCAUUAAUUUUCAUUUGGUUUUGCAUAACUUGUAUAACUGUUAAGAAUUAAAGCACAUGCUCAAGCACAGCGGGAUGACUGAACCCUGAAAUUGUUUCCUAUGAGGUGUAAAAAUUCUACUGUUCCCUUCUUCACAAUUUCAUUAUUUUCAUGUCUGUGUUCCUUGAAAAGAAUGUAUAUAUAGGGGUGCAGGAUUUUAUGGUGGCAAUGCUUGGCCUCAUGUCUUGAUUUGUGGUGUUUUUCUCUAAGGAAACACUGUCUUUCAAUGGGCAAAUCUACAUAUUAUAGAAAAUGCAGGCCUCCACUUUAGAGUGAGGUGAGGCAUCCUUUGAUGGUGCCUGCUCCCCACUGGUUAUAAAAGAAAUCUGGGAAAGUAACCUCAAUCUCAAUGACUCUCUUUAGAACGACAUACAUUAGGCAAGGCCAAGGGAACUCAGGGUGUUCUCCAGCCCUGGUUGCACAGGCACAGAGCUCCAGUUGCUCCUGCUGGAAGCUCUGGGCUAUGAGCCCACAUUCAGGCCCCUUUCCCGGGGGACUGGCUUUAGACACAGCCCGCUGGCUUGCUGAUUAUAAUACAGGUGCAGCAGCGGGUCCGCAGGCACACACAGCCCCUGAUAAAGCUGCAGCAAUUGUUUGUGUUAAUAGGGUUUUAAAUUGCAUCAGGAGGCACAAAAGGUGUCUGAGAACUGGAGACAGAGAGAUGAAAGGAUAAUGAAAAUUUGGUACUGUAAAGAUUGAAUUUUACCUCUUCUCUCAGUGACCUUAACUCUUCGGAUGAAGCAACAAAGAAUGGGAGCCAUCCUAUAUAUUAUAUUAAGUCUGCAAGGGCUUUGUGAAGCUCUCACUUUAGCCCAUGCCCCUAAAUAUGUUUUUGAUUUACAUUAUGGAGAGCUGUAGAGAAUGCCUUUCUCAUUUUGAUCAUGAUGGUUCAAUCAGAUUUUGUUGCUACACAGCGGAUGCUUGUAGUGUUUAUAUUUUCCUGCACUGGCACAUCUAAUUUAAACAAAAGUAACUCCACAUGGUGUAAGGGUAUUUCUAAAGGGAGGCUGUCAUGGAGAGAAAAGUAUUUCUGCAAUUUCCACAGAAUAUGGUGUUGGUGCUGGAGACAUCUGGAAAUGUAUCUCACUCUACAUCCAAUUUAUAGGAUCAGAAAGAGAUAUGACCUACUGAUUAAUGGGAAAUGAGACACUAAUUCAAUUUUUAAAGAAUAGAUGUUCAGAGAUUUUUUAGAUUGCAUUACUAUAUUCAUCUGUUUCAUUUUGUGUCCUACAAUAAAAAGCUUACCAGAUACUUUGGUGUGAUGUAUUUUGUCUGGCACGUUAUCUCAUCUGAUGUCUUGAAGCUGAAGUCAUUUAUUUAGACCCCGGGACUUAGAAUGAAGCUAAUCUCAUUUCCUUAGACCACUGCCCACUGCUGCAAUGUUAUAGGGAUCUAAAAGCUCUGCAGGUAAUGUAUAUACAGCACUCAUUAGUGACGCUGAACAAAUUGAUGUGAACUAUAAUUCUACAUGUCAAACAGCACUCAACAAAUAAGCACUUGCAAUAAAUAUGUCAAUUUCCAUAAUUCUCUAGUUUUAAAGAGUCAUUCAAACAUGUAUCCCAGGACAGCACUUUCAUGUUUUAUCAAGUACGCUUGUUUGUGUUUGGAGCGCGAUUUUUCAUAUUUUCCAGAAGAGUUUUUUUUUUUUUAUUCUCAAGCAGAAAUGACAGGGCUAUAGAUAAGGUAGAAAAACCUAAUUAAGGACCGUGAUAAAAGCCAUAUGAUAUUUAAUAAGUGUUUCUGUUUUUCUGUCUAUCCAAGAUUCUAUUUUCCAUAAAUUAUGUGAUAAAAUAUUUCUUCUGCUUGCCACAGAAAAGUAUAAUAAACCAAAAUUUUUGAAAAAGCCUGCUUUAAGGCUUUCCAGGCAGUUAGCCUUGUCCCCAUGUGCUACACUGACAAACAAAAUGUGACAACUUUGCUUAAAUUAAAUUCUUCCCUGUGAUAUGGAAACAUGAAUCAAUCAAAACUGAAGUGAUGGGGAUCACUAUUAUGCUGGAUGUAAUAAGGAAAAAAAAGAAAAGGCCCUAUGUGAAAGAGAAAGGAAUUUGUUCCACACUGACAAGAUGAAAAGCAGGUUUGAAAGCUGAGCCUGUGAUAAGGGAGAGCUUCCCCAAGCUUUUUUGCAGUUACCCAAGGACAUGCAGAAUAGUGACUGUUGAGUGUCUGAGCAUUGUGUGUGACUGCAGGUGUCGUGGGUCUCACUCUUUCCUUCUAUACUGUCAUUCUUAUAGCCAGCAGGAGAGUUGCACUGCAUGUGUAGCUGCAGUGAAAGUCAAUUUCUGUCCAAACUCUGUCACUCUGGUUUGACUGGUGGAUGGAAAGGUGAACAAGGGCUGUUAUCUGCAUGGAAUUUUCCUGGGAGGAAGGACAAAGAGAUGGUUCCAGGCACAAUUUUUAUAAAAUUUUAGGAAGCCUGACCCAAACCAGGCUUUGUGAAAUUGUGGUAAAGUGUUCACUUUAACAACAACAACAAAAACAAAACAAAAACAAAACAAAACAAAACAAAACAAAAUAAAAAAUAAAUCAAAAAAACCCAACAAAAAAAAAUUUAAAAAAAUCACAAUUUCUAUUCAAACAUAGUAUUUGUCAGCAUAGUGAAAAAAACAGUCCUUCUAAUACUAUGGAUAUAUUGAUUUUUAUGGGAAAAGUUAUCCAGUGAAAAAAAGAAUGUCUCUGUUAAGUCAAAUGAAAUUUAAAUUCAUAUUAAUUUUUUGGAGGACUGACUAGCUUCAUUCUGCUUUCCUGUUUCUGCUAGGAUUUCUGGAAGCUCUCUUUAAGGCACUAGCACAAUUCUGGAGUCAGGAUGUCUGACUGGGUGAUGUGGAGAAUGUAGAAUAACUUGCUUUGCUGAGUUAGAAAUGUCCUGCUUAUUUUGUGUGUCUCUAGUCAUGUCUGGGGAUUUCUCUUGCCAUAUUUGUCCAGUCCCUUGAGCCCUUGAGCUCCUGUAAACUUUGAAAAUCCUUUGGCAGAGUGAUUCUUUGCUCUCCUGUUUCUUGGUUGCUCUCUUCACCAAUCCUACUAACCUGGUUGGAUGUUCCCUAGUUCUUGAAUUGAUUAUUCUUGCUUUAUUUUUGGUGUCAUGUGUCCAAAACAGAGGAUUACAUUCCAGAGAGCUCCACACUGGCAGCAGGCCUUGCAUCAGUGAGCUCAUGGUUAUCCCCAUCCUGGGUGUACGUGGGGCCAAGAGGGCAGGGAGAGGUUGGGAAUGUUCCAGACCUUUGCACUGGUGUGGAGUGAGUGUCCUUGGCCCCACACUGACACAGCCCUCUUGCCUCCCUCAGCCCUACAAACAACUCUGCAGGCAUUACAUCUGGAAGUUCAACAGUCUGUCCACUACCACCUCUGCUUUUGGAGAUGAUGCAACAGA
Molecule: long non-coding RNA, 8462 nt
Organism: Prinia subflava (tawny-flanked prinia)
Lineage: Eukaryota; Metazoa; Chordata; Aves; Passeriformes; Cisticolidae
Exons: 3
Source: RefSeq, a predicted model, not a curated record